CCUACGGGAGGCAGCAGUGGGGAAUAUUGCACAAUGGGGGAAACCCUUAUGCAGCGACGCCGCGUGAGUGAAGAAGUAUUUCGGUAUUUAAAGCUCUAUCAGCAGGGAAGAAAUAGCGACCUUUGGGUCGCCAGACGGUACCUGACUAAGAAGCCCCGGCUAACUACGUGCCAGCAGCCGCGGUAAUACGUAGUGGGCAAGCGUUAUCCGGAUUUAUUGGGUUUAAAGGGUGCGUAGGCGGAAGGUUAAGUCAGCGGUCAAAUGUCGGUGCGCAACACCGGCCUGCCGUUGAAACUGGUCUUCUUGAGUGAGCGAGAAGUAUGCGGAAUGCGUGGUGUAGCGGUGAAAUGCAUAGAUAUCACGCAGAACUCCGAUUGCGAAGGCAGCAUACCGGCGCUCAACUGACGCUGAGGCACGAAAGCGUGGGGAUCGAACAGGAUUAGAUACCCCAGUAGUC
This 457-nucleotide ribosomal RNA is filed under the name uncultured bacterium. RNAcentral's name for it is "partial 16S ribosomal RNA". It matches the Rfam family "Bacterial small subunit ribosomal RNA", at positions 338 to 795 of the family's 1533-position model. The record is from RNAcentral.